This 74-nucleotide transfer RNA is filed under the name Nitrososphaerota archaeon. RNAcentral describes it as "tRNA-Met". It matches the Rfam family "tRNA". From Rfam's summary of the family: Transfer RNA (tRNA) molecules are approximately 80 nucleotides in length. Their secondary structure includes four short double-helical elements and three loops (D, anti-codon, and T loops). The record is from RNAcentral. Lineage: Archaea; Thermoproteati; Nitrososphaerota.
GCCGGGGUAGCUCAGCUGGUCAGAGCGCCAGACUCAUAAUCUGGAGGCCGAGGGUUCAAACCCCUCCCCCGGCA